Molecule: ribosomal RNA, 440 nt
Filed under: uncultured bacterium
Lineage: Bacteria
Description: bacterial SSU rRNA
Rfam family: Bacterial small subunit ribosomal RNA
Source: RNAcentral
AACGCGAAGAACCUUACCAGCCCUUGACAUGCCACGACGGUUUUCAGAGAUGGAUUCCUCCCCGCAAGGGGCGUGGACACAGGUGCUGCAUGGCUGUCGUCAGCUCGUGUCGUGAGAUGUUGGGUUAAGUCCCGCAACGAGCGCAACCCUCGCCCUUAGUUGCCAUCAUUCAGUUGGGCACUCUAAGGGGACUGCCGGUGAUAAGCCGCGAGGAAGGUGGGGAUGACGUCAAGUCCUCAUGGCCCUUACGGGCUGGGCUACACACGUGCUACAAUGGCGGUGACAAUGGGAUGCAAUGGAGCAAUCCUGCGCAAAUCUCAAAAAGCCGUCUCAGUUCGGAUUGUGCUCUGCAACUCGAGCACAUGAAGUUGGAAUCGCUAGUAAUCGCAGAUCAGCACGCUGCGGUGAAUACGUUCCCGGGCCUUGUACACACCGGCUAC